RNAcentral lists this ribosomal RNA (532 nucleotides) under uncultured bacterium. RNAcentral describes it as "partial 16S ribosomal RNA". It matches the Rfam family "Bacterial small subunit ribosomal RNA", at positions 350 to 869 of the family's 1533-position model. The record is from RNAcentral.
AGCCGUUGGGAAUUUUCCACAAUGGGGGAAAGUCUGAAGGAGCACCGCCGGGGGAGUGAAGAAGGUCCUUGGGUUGGAAAAGUUUGUUGUGAGGGAAGAAAAAGUUUGGGAGUAAUUGCCGGAACGUUGACGGUACCUCAUAAAAAAACCACGGGUAAAUUCGGGCCAGCAGGCGGGGUAAAAAGUGGGGGGCCAGGGUUUUCUGGAAUCAUUGGGGGUAAAAGGCGCGCCGGGGGUUCUUUAAAUUUGAAGUGAAAAUCCCACGGGUUAACCCUGGAAAGUCAUUUGAAAAUGGGGGAGUUGAGUUCAGAAGAGGGAAGGGGAAAUUCCAGGGGAAGGGGGGGAAUGGGUAGAAAAUUGGGGGAACACCAGGGGGGAAGGCGGGCUUUCUGGUCCAAAACUGACGGUGAGGCGCGAAAGCGUGGGGAGCAAACAGGAUUAGAUACCCUGGUAGUUCCACGCCGUAAACGAUGAGUGAUAAGUGUGGGGGGGUUUCCGCCCCUGAGUGCCGCAGCUAACGCAUUAAGCACUC